Fundulus heteroclitus (mummichog) is the source of this 326-nucleotide long non-coding RNA. RefSeq lists it as uncharacterized. The record is from RefSeq and is a predicted model, not a curated record. The transcript is spliced from 3 exons. Lineage: Eukaryota; Metazoa; Chordata; Actinopteri; Cyprinodontiformes; Fundulidae.
UCUUGAAGAAGAAAACCCAUCAUUUUUGCAAUGAUGCUGUCACAGGACAUGGUGCUCAGCAGAAGGAACAGGAAAACUCUUUAGUUUAUUGUGCCCAAACCUUCACCAGGAGCAAAGGUGGAAAAGCAGAAAGAAGAAAAGUAAAAGUGACACAUGAGGAGACGACCUACACACGCAUCAAGGAUUUCAGGAUUCAGUAAAAAUGCCUUAGAUUCCGCAGCUGAGGGUGGUUUUUGUUUUUGUAUGAACUCUGGAAAAUGGUGAGUGGAACUUGUUCAGAGGCUUGCCUUGUACCAUCUGAACCAGUUGUCUUAAUAUUAAAAAAU